GGGUUGUGAGGUUAAGCGACUAAGCGUACACGGUGGAUGCCCUGGCAGUCAGAGGCGAUGAAGGACGUGCUAAUCUGCGAUAAGCGUCGGUAAGGUGAUAUGAACCGUUAUAACCGGCGAUUUCCGAAUGGGGAAACCCAGUGUGAUUCGUCACACUAUCAUUAACUGAAUCCAUAGGUUAAUGAGGCGAACCGGGGGAACUGAAACAUCUAAGUACCCCGAGGAAAAGAAAUCAACCGAGAUUCCCCCAGUAGCGGCGAGCGAACGGGGAGCAGCCCAGAGCCUGAAUCAGUGUGUGUGUUAGUGGAAGCGUCUGGAAAGGCGUGCGAUACAGGGUGACAGCCCCGUACACAAAAAUGCACAUAUUGUGAGCUCGAUGAGUAGGGCGGGACACGUGGUAUCCUGUCUGAAUAUGGGGGGACCAUCCUCCAAGGCUAAAUACUCCUGACUGACCGAUAGUGAACCAGUACCGUGAGGGAAAGGCGAAAAGAACCCCGGCGAGGGGAGUGAAAAAGAACCUGAAACCGUGUACGUACAAGCAGUGGGAGCACGCUUAGGCGUGUGACUGCGUACCUUUUGUAUAAUGGGUCAGCGACUUAUAUUCUGUAGCAAGGUUAACCGAAUAGGGGAGCCGAAGGGAAACCGAGUCUUAACUGGGCGUUAAGUUGCAGGGUAUAGACCCGAAACCCGGUGAUCUAGCCAUGGGCAGGUUGAAGGUUGGGUAACACUAACUGGAGGACCGAACCGACUAAUGUUGAAAAAUUAGCGGAUGACUUGUGGCUGGGGGUGAAAGGCCAAUCAAACCGGGAGAUAGCUGGUUCUCCCCGAAAGCUAUUUAGGUAGCGCCUCGUGAAUUCAUCUCCGGGGGUAGAGCACUGUUUCGGCAAGGGGGUCAUCCCGACUUACCAACCCGAUGCAAACUGCGAAUACCGGAGAAUGUUAUCACGGGAGACACACGGCGGGUGCUAACGUCCGUCGUGAAGAGGGAAACAACCCAGACCGCCAGCUAAGGUCCCAAAGUCAUGGUUAAGUGGGAAACGAUGUGGGAAGGCCCAGACAGCCAGGAUGUUGGCUUAGAAGCAGCCAUCAUUUAAAGAAAGCGUAAUAGCUCACUGGUCGAGUCGGCCUGCGCGGAAGAUGUAACGGGGCUAAACCAUGCACCGAAGCUGCGGCAGCGACGCUUAUGCGUUGUUGGGUAGGGGAGCGUUCUGUAAGCCUGCGAAGGUGUGCUGUGAGGCAUGCUGGAGGUAUCAGAAGUGCGAAUGCUGACAUAAGUAACGAUAAAGCGGGUGAAAAGCCCGCUCGCCGGAAGACCAAGGGUUCCUGUCCAACGUUAAUCGGGGCAGGGUGAGUCGACCCCUAAGGCGAGGCCGAAAGGCGUAGUCGAUGGGAAACAGGUUAAUAUUCCUGUACUUGGUGUUACUGCGAAGGGGGGACGGAGAAGGCUAUGUUGGCCGGGCGACGGUUGUCCCGGUUUAAGCGUGUAGGCUGGUUUUCCAGGCAAAUCCGGAAAAUCAAGGCUGAGGCGUGAUGACGAGGCACUACGGUGCUGAAGCAACAAAUGCCCUGCUUCCAGGAAAAGCCUCUAAGCAUCAGGUAACAUCAAAUCGUACCCCAAACCGACACAGGUGGUCAGGUAGAGAAUACCAAGGCGCUUGAGAGAACUCGGGUGAAGGAACUAGGCAAAAUGGUGCCGUAACUUCGGGAGAAGGCACGCUGAUAUGUAGGUGAAGUCCCUCGCGGAUGGAGCUGAAAUCAGUCGAAGAUACCAGCUGGCUGCAACUGUUUAUUAAAAACACAGCACUGUGCAAACACGAAAGUGGACGUAUACGGUGUGACGCCUGCCCGGUGCCGGAAGGUUAAUUGAUGGGGUUAGCGCAAGCGAAGCUCUUGAUCGAAGCCCCGGUAAACGGCGGCCGUAACUAUAACGGUCCUAAGGUAGCGAAAUUCCUUGUCGGGUAAGUUCCGACCUGCACGAAUGGCGUAAUGAUGGCCAGGCUGUCUCCACCCGAGACUCAGUGAAAUUGAACUCGCUGUGAAGAUGCAGUGUACCCGCGGCAAGACGGAAAGACCCCGUGAACCUUUACUAUAGCUUGACACUGAACAUUGAGCCUUGAUGUGUAGGAUAGGUGGGAGGCUUUGAAGUGUGGACGCCAGUCUGCAUGGAGCCGACCUUGAAAUACCACCCUUUAAUGUUUGAUGUUCUAACGUUGACCCGUAAUCCGGGUUGCGGACAGUGUCUGGUGGGUAGUUUGACUGGGGCGGUCUCCUCCUAAAGAGUAACGGAGGAGCACGAAGGUUGGCUAAUCCUGGUCGGACAUCAGGAGGUUAGUGCAAUGGCAUAAGCCAGCUUGACUGCGAGCGUGACGGCGCGAGCAGGUGCGAAAGCAGGUCAUAGUGAUCCGGUGGUUCUGAAUGGAAGGGCCAUCGCUCAACGGAUAAAAGGUACUCCGGGGAUAACAGGCUGAUACCGCCCAAGAGUUCAUAUCGACGGCGGUGUUUGGCACCUCGAUGUCGGCUCAUCACAUCCUGGGGCUGAAGUAGGUCCCAAGGGUAUGGCUGUUCGCCAUUUAAAGUGGUACGCGAGCUGGGUUUAGAACGUCGUGAGACAGUUCGGUCCCUAUCUGCCGUGGGCGCUGGAGAACUGAGGGGGGCUGCUCCUAGUACGAGAGGACCGGAGUGGACGCAUCACUGGUGUUCGGGUUGUCAUGCCAAUGGCACUGCCCGGUAGCUAAAUGCGGAAGAGAUAAGUGCUGAAAGCAUCUAAGCACGAAACUUGCCCCGAGAUGAGUUCUCCCUGACUCCUUGAGAGUCCUGAAGGAACGUUGAAGACGACGACGUUGAUAGGCCGGGUGUGUAAGCGCAGCGAUGCGUUGAGCUAACCGGUACUAAUGAACCGUGAGGCUUAACCUUACAACGCCGAAG
RNAcentral lists this ribosomal RNA (2925 nucleotides) under Escherichia coli. RNAcentral's name for it is "bacterial LSU rRNA". It matches the Rfam family "Bacterial large subunit ribosomal RNA". Lineage: Bacteria; Pseudomonadati; Pseudomonadota; Gammaproteobacteria; Enterobacterales; Enterobacteriaceae. The record is from RNAcentral.